AACGAACGCUGGCGGCGUGCCUAACACAUGCAAGUCGAGCGGGAAAGUUCCCUUCGGGGAGCGAGUACAGCGGCGAACGGGUGAGUAACACGUAGGUAACCUACCUUGGGGUCUGGGAUAACCUGUCGAAAGACGGGCUAAUACCGGAUAAGACCACGAGGGCUUUGGCCCUUGAGGUAAAAGAUGGCCUCUGCUUGCACGCUAUCCCCCCGAGAUGGGCCUGCGCGCCAUUAGCUAGUUGGUGAGGUAAUGGCUCACCAAGGCGAAGAUGGUUAGCUGGUCUGAGAGGAUGAUCAGCCACACUGGGACUGAGACACGGCCCAGACUCCUACGGGAGGCAGCAGUGGGGAAUAUUGCGCAAUGGGCGAAAGCCUGACGCAGCGACGCCGCGUGGGUGAUGAAGGCCUUCGGGUCGUAAAGCCCUGUCGGGAGGGACGAAAUCUUGCCGACCCAAUACGUCGGUGACUUGACGGUACCUCCAAAGGAAGCACCGGCUAACUCCGUGC
This 506-nucleotide ribosomal RNA is filed under the name uncultured bacterium. RNAcentral's name for it is "bacterial SSU rRNA". It matches the Rfam family "Bacterial small subunit ribosomal RNA", at positions 29 to 508 of the family's 1533-position model. The record is from RNAcentral.